CCUACGGGUGGCAGCAGUGGGGGAUAUUGCACAAUGGGGGAAACCCUGAUGCAGCGACGCCGCGUGAGUGAAGAAGGAUUUCGGUAUGUAAAGCUCUAUCAGCAGGGAAGAAAAUGACAGUACCUGACCAAGAAGCCCCGGCUAACUACGGGCCAGCAGCCGCGGUAAUACGUAGGGGGCAAGCUUUAUCCGGAUUUACUGGGUGUAAAGGGAGCGUAGCCGGGUUUGUAAGUCUGGAGUGAAUGCCCGGGGCCCACCCCCUGGACUGCUUUGGAAACUGUGGAACUGGAGUACAGGAGGGGCAGGCGGCAUUCCUGGUGUAGCGGUGACAUGCGUCGAUAUCAGGAGUAACACCGGCGGCGAAGGCGGCCUGCUGGACUGAAACUGACGUUGAGGCUCGAAAGCGUGGGGAGCAAACAGGAUUAGAUACCCCAGUAGUC
Molecule: ribosomal RNA, 440 nt
Filed under: uncultured bacterium
Lineage: Bacteria
Description: partial 16S ribosomal RNA
Rfam family: Bacterial small subunit ribosomal RNA
Source: RNAcentral